Solenopsis invicta (red fire ant) is the source of this 7176-nucleotide long non-coding RNA. RefSeq lists it as uncharacterized. NCBI's taxonomy places the organism in Eukaryota, Metazoa, Arthropoda, Insecta, Hymenoptera, Formicidae. The transcript has 2 exons. The record is from RefSeq and is a predicted model, not a curated record.
CCCCGGGAAGAGUGGGGUGCAAACGUGUCCAGGUGGGGAACGAGCAACCGGGUGCCGGGUGCCGGGUGCCGGGUGGUGUCGGGGAACAUAAAGCCUAGCAUGCGCACGGCCUACGGUUAGUUUGCGACCGGACGAGCGACUGUGCGCUUGCGUGACCCUCGGAGGACCCUCUCCUCUCCUUCUCUUUCGCCUCCUCGCGUUCGCUCUUCCACACCUUCUCGUUCCUCGCCCUCGCAGUACGCUCGCCCGUUCGAUGGCAAGCAUGACUCGAACCUCCGAGGGUCUCGCGAACCAGCCUUACCAGCCUUGCGCCGGAUUGAAAUCUCUCACCCGGCCGCAACCAUCGCCCGACUGGACGACGCCUGCCGAGCAACGAUGGACGAUCGUUUGUGGAGAUGUCGACUACUGACCGAGAGAACAUUCUCAAAGAUACCGAAAGGAUCGUCCGUCCCCCCGGUGAGACGCCGGAUUUGAAACGACGGAGACGAGGAAGGACGGAAGAUGAUGUGGCAAUCACAGUAAGUACACGAGUCCAACAUUGGCAUUCACCGCUAUGAAAAUCUCAAGCCAAGACCAUAUCCAGUUGAUACAAAUAACUAAUAUAAACAUCGACAUCGACGACCGAUGUACGUACUCUUUGAUUGCCGAUCUCAUUCUUGACCUUGUUCUCCGUUUAUACACAUAUUAGCGUACGAAAACAGCAAUAUGAGAGGCGAGCAUGUGCAAAUAAAAGUCCUAAUAUAAGAGAUAUAAAGUGGAAAUGAGGAAAGAAAAAAAAAAGAGAGGGAGAGAUGUAGAGUACUGAUGGUCAAAGUACAAGCAGUAUUCGAACAAUACGCUCGGUGAAGACGAAUGACCGCAUUUCGCGGCGAUGGAAAAUUUUCAUUCAAAUUUCCUACACCGAACAACCUCAAAAAUGAUCAAAGAUAGCACCGGUGUGUAGUUCUUCAUCCAUUUUAUCUUAAUUACGCCAAUUAAAAAAACGAAAGGAAUUUCCUAUCAAAAGCAUCCGGACUAACAUUAAUAAUUGGCAUGGCAACAAGAAUUUGAUUCAAACUAGACAUUUUCUUUGAUCGAACAUACAUCAUUUCAACAUUCCUGCUGUGGAUCGAUGAUCAGAUCUAAACUCGGUUCGAGAAAAUUUUCGGAUGUCACAAAGAUUGGAUCCGCGAAGAAUUAUGUCACUUCAUACAUCUUUAAGGACUACGCAUGAAGAAGAUGUGGAACUUCAACUAAACGCCAUCUUUUCAGCCAAAAUCAACGGCAUCACAAUUGAUUCUAACAUUCCGGAAGAAUGUUUCACUCGCGAUAAUGCAAUUUUAAUUGCUUAAUGUAAGUAACAUCUAUAAUAUAUGUAUUGCAGUUAAAUUUUGCGUGCAAAUAUCUAUAAGUUACUUAGUAGUAUAGAGAAAGUGAAAAAGACUAAUUUAAUUGGGACAAGAAAGCAAGGUCCAGCUGCAGAGUGGGUAUUCGGUUCUUUAAUAAAAUAAUAACAAAACUGCUAAUUAAUUCUAAAUAAAUCAAAACUUAAAAUUUCACAAUAAUAAAUAUAAACAAAUAAAUAAAUAAAAAAAAUAUAUAUAAAUAUAAAUUCAACAGUAAUAAAUUUCAAAAAUUUUAAUUUUGAUUGUAAUUGAAACAGCAUAUUCAAAUUUUGCAUGUUCAAAAACAGCAAAAUUUAAACCUUUCUCAUUUUCUUUUAAUAUAUCAAUAUUUAAAUUUACAAUUAUGUCUCUAAGAAAAGGUGAAAAAAAGUUCUAAUUCCCACGAAAUGUUAAAUAACUAGUUUUGUUGGGAUAUUUUAAGAUAAGAUUGGCACGUUCAGACUCUGCCUGGUCUUUUUUUCUUUCGUUUCGAUUAAGUAUUAGUUUCUUUUACACGAAUGCAUUAUUGCGAGUUAAAAUUUCAAUUUUAUUCUGCGGGCAUUACUUUUUGCGUGGUAAAAUUAUUGUUUAAAAAUGAUUCUACUUUCACUUGAAUUUUCAAAGAAUGGUUUCUCACAAAAAUAAUUAAUUAAGAAUGUAAACAAUGAAAAUUUUCUCAGCCGAGCGUUUGUAUAAUUUAAAAGCUAUAAUUUAAGUGUAAUUUAAUUUAGGCCAACAAUAGUGAGAUUAAUUCUAUGCUAGAGAUAAGUUAAUUUAUCUUUAAUAAGUUUCAAACUGCAAAAACUAGCACGUACUAUAAAAUCAAAUUUAAUUUUUAGUACUAUAAUUUAUACUAUGAUUUGUCACAUGUAAAAUAUAAUAAUAGAAUCUAGUCAAAAGUCAUACAUAUAAUCUAUAAUCUAGUCAAACUUUGAUGUUAAUAGAAAUCAAAUUUCGACUACUAAUCAAGUUUCUAAUGUGCCAUACUUUUAAAACGUAAUUAUAUAUCAAUAAAAUCUAGUCAAAAAUUUCAAAUAUUUGCCAUCUAAUAGAGAUAUAUGUUAUUUUAUAGCAACAUGGAUAGUUGGAAAAUCUAGUCAGUUUAUAUCUUCAAUCUUGUCAUAUUAUAUUAAAUUUAAUCGUAAAACUCUCUAUCAUUAUUCGAUUAUAAAAAUUAUUGUAUUGUAGCACAGAACUUCAAAGUGCAAAAUCUAAUUUUAAAAUAGAAUUAAUCUUAAAGUAAUAAAGCUAUUCGCGACAAAAAAUCACGUUUGAAAAAGAAUCGAUAAGAAAACAAAUCUUUCUUUAAGUUCUUGCUUAAGCGGCUCGUGUAAGUAAUUUUUUUAAAUUCAAGAAUCAUAAGUUUUCGAAUGAUCUCUUGCAAAUCAUACGUACAUUCCUUUAUAAAUUAGGAUAGUAUUAGUAUUAUUUAAAAUCGACAAAAGUAUAUAAAAUUAGUUUUAUAUAUUAUGUAAUCCUUGCAAUUCUAGUCACAUUUAAUUUAUUCACUUGUAAUUAUUUCAAGUCACUUCUACUCAGCAAUCUAGUCUAUUGAUCUUAUUAAUUUAAUAUUUGAUAUGCAUGAUAUGCAGGCCACUAAUAAAUGCAAUCUUUUUCUUAAAUCUUAAAAUGUACGAUUAUGUUUCGUUAUCAUGACAUAACAGUCUUAUCAGUAUUUUAUCUUAAUGUCUUAUCAGUAUUUUUACAAUUCUAUACAUCUGUAUAGUACGUCACCAAAUCCGUGGAUGCGAUGCCAUACAAAACUUAUAUCAAAGAAUGAUGCUAGUCCAUGGACGCGAUGCCACACGAAACUUAUACCAAAGAAUGAUGCUAGUCCGUGGACCCAAUGCCACACAAAAUGUAUACCAAAGAACGAUGCCAGUCACUUCCUUAGAUAAUUGAUUAAUCCUCAAUUUUUGUCUUAAAAUCCUCAGUCUUUGGAAGCAUACAGCCGUAUAAUUCUUGUAAAGCAGUACAGAACAAUACUUAGUUUAAUUAUAGUAACUUUGCGUGCAGUUAGUCUAGUGAGUCUAGUCAAUUCUAGGUACUAUAUUAAUCAAGUUUAGGGAUUAAUCAUAAAUAAAAUUUAAAAAUAAUAUAACAGACAUUAUGUAGAUUUAAUAUAAUGAUAAAGUAAUUUAUACAUUGUAAUAUAUUUUGGGAAACGUGCCAGUAUCGCGAUCAUUUAAAAUUGAUCCUUGAAUUGUGCCGACAUUUAAUAAUUAAAUGUACUAACGCAAGUAAAUGGAGGAUAGCUUGUGAAUUUUGUGCAAAGUAUGUAUAAAGUGCCUGUACAGUAUUUAAUUUUUUGAUUAAUUUACACGCAAAGCAAAAUGUCCUCAACGGCAGCUACCUAUGUAGAAAUGAAGAGGAACUCGGGGUAACUUGUUAGAAAAAACUACGGAAGGAAUAGUGAAUCAUUUUCAAUUUCCAUGUUUUUUUAUUUAUUACUAUUUUUUAGUAGAGCUUGUUUAAGUAUUUUUUUUUUAAAUCUUACAUUUCUCUUAAAUAAUAUAAAAUUCUCUCAAACUUUAUUCUUUAUACACAUAGGUAUACCUACACACACAUAUACUAUAUAUAUAUAUAUAUAUAUAAUAAAAAUUAUAAUUAUUAAAAUUAUUCAUGAAUUCUUCUAUUUCAAUUUAAAAAUAUAAUAGAAGGAAAAGCGUGUAGAUUUCAAACAUCUCAUUUCCUUUACAAGUCAAUUAUUGCAUGUCAAUAAAAGUCAUCCUUUUUCAAUUAUAAAUCAUUCUUACAAUUCACAUCAUUUGCAAAAGAAAGACUCAUAAACAGUCAUCAAAGAUUCUCUAAAAAAUCAAAAACUUUCCACCAAAUACUUAUCAUCAAAACAAAAAAAAUUACCAAAUAUAAAUACAUUUAUCAAAGAUUUUCCAAAUAUUUCAAAAGAUAUAUUAAAAGAUUCUUAUUUAAUAAAAAGAAAAUGUAGAAUGAUUCAACAGGGUAGGAUUAGUUUAAUAUUAAGUUACUAUUUUUCAUUUAAUUAAGUUUGGGUAUUUGUCAAAUCUGAUUAAUUAUUUCCUUUUCAAGUAUUAGUUCGGCUGUGCUUAUUUUAAUAUCUCAAUCACGUAAUAGCUUUUUAUAUAGUCUAGUCAAAAAGUACAAAAUUAUAUCUUUAUGAUUUGAUGUAGAAAACAUUUUAGAAACAUUUUUAAUUUGAAACUAUGCCUUUAACAAGCAUUAAGAAAUAAAUUUAAUCUAAAUUUUGUUUAGUAUUUACAAAUUUCAUUUCUAUUGCAUAACAGAUUUGAAUGAAUAUAGUGGGAAUACUUAUAGUAACUUUGUGGUUGCAGAUACGAUUUAAAUUUGCAUAAAUGCGUUAUACGUAAGAAUUAAAAUUAAUCUCACUAUUCGGCAUAUUAAGUCAACAUAAGCAACGAUGUAAAAUUAAGAGUAUUUCUUUUAAUUUAUUGCACAAAUUAAUUGAUAUAAAUCAGUUAGUACAAAUCAAUUUAACUAUUGGCUUUUAGUGUACAAAGCAAUCGUUACUUGUAGUCAUGAGUCUAAAAUCAUCAAUUAAACCAAAAAUAUAUAAAGCUAAAAUUAUAAUAGAAAAGUCAAAUCUAAUCUUAAUGAAGAAUACAUUUAUUAUCAACGUAACAAGAAAUAUAUUUCAUACCAUUUGCUUGCAACUCAUAAAAGAUAGAAUGUAAGAAAUGUAAGAAAUAUUUUUCGAAAGAUAAAUAGUAUUUUAAAAAGAAAUUGUAUGUGUGACUCAUAUGUCAUUGAUUAUAUAUUUUUGGCUAAGAUAUGUAAUAUUAUUUACGAGUGGAAUCUAGUCAAAAAGCUCAUGGACGAUUAACUCGAAAAGUUUCACUAAGAGAGGACCGAGAAGAGCCCGAAUAAUCACACGCAGAAAUAACCCACUGGAUAAUCUCAGAUAGCACACAAUAUUUAUGAUAAAUAUUUACAAAUAUACGUCUUUUAAAGUAUUUUAUAGAUUUUAUAUACACAUAUUUUACAAAGGAAAAAGAUUAUAAAAUCUUCAAUCUGUUAUUCAAAAUGUUCUUAAAAUAUAUAAUAUUUUUUAAAAUAAUUAUUUUUGCAAAUAAUAUAGAAUAUAGGGAAGUUUUUCAAAUUGACAUAAAUAUUAUGUGUUGUCUGAGAUGUAAUGUAAUUAUGUAAUAUUAAAUCAAUUUAUAGCUUAUCUUUUGCAAUUUUUAAAGUACAUCAUUAAAAUAUGUUGAGAUUAGCUAGGAUCUCAUUUGGCGCUAUGAAUACUUGAAAUUUCUGAUUGGUUAAUGCUAUGAAGCAUUUGUAGUGCUAAAUGAACCAUAGACAUUGUCAAAUAUUUUUUAUGACGGUUAGAUAUAUAAAUAACAUAUUAAUUUGCAAUUUUAUGUAUUUAAUAUUCAUAUUUUUCAUAUUAUGAAGAGCAUGAAUAUGACAAAGAAUUGGUUUGUUAUCUAAUAUUAAUCUAAAAUUAACUUGUAAUCAUUGUUAAAAAGUCAGUCCUCAAAAAUUGAUUUUUUAUUGCUUAAUGGCGUCUAAUUAAAGUGUACUGAUUUGGUUUAAUUUAUUUACACUCACGAUUGUAUCGUCUUCUCUUGGCUUACGUAGUAGAGCACGCGAUCUCAGUCCAUGGGCGGUAAUUAUAAUAGCCUGUAACAAUGCGUAAAAUCUAAUUUGUAAAUAGAGUUCUUUUCGAUAAGAAAACUUCAAUAGCUAAGAUAUAAGUAUUAUAUUAUUCACCAAAUUCAAUAGCAGAUAAUAAGUAUAUAGAAGAUGAAUACAUACACGAAAUGAUAAUAAUUAAAAGAUUUUGCGUAUUUAGUCGUUUACAUAUUUAUAAUUUUUAUUAUCUAUGUUUAGAUAUUUCUUGAUCUGUCUAUUACGCCAGGUCUUUCCUCACGUAUUUGCUUAUUUAUUAUUCGCCGUUUUGUGUAUCUAAUUGUUUAUUUUCCCUCAUAUCAUUGUCAGUCAUAUUACCUCCUUACGCGAUUCGACGUACAACAUCAAAUUGUGUAACGAAAACUUAAUUAUUAACUUUUGUAAGAUAAACAUGAUGGAAAAUAGAUGAUUAAUUAAUUUUUAUCUUUACUUAUUAUUUGUUAUUUCGAAGAAACAUACAUGUAAUAUAUAUCACGAUAUACUUAUUUAUCUGUAUCAAAGAGCUUUUCUAAGCGUAAGAAAGUUUGUCGCGUGAAAUAUUUAUUGCUUUCAGUGUGGCUUAAUAAUUUCUAUAGAGCCUAAGCAUAUUGCAUAUGAUGCAUUUAAUCGCUUAUUUAUUCUGUGUAUUUAAUUCCUACUUAUCAUUUGUAUCUCUGAUCACGAUAUUUAUAUAAUAUUUAAUCUAUUUGCCGUAUUUAUACAUCUAUUUAUUUAUCAUUACAAACAUUGUAUUUGUGUGUAUUUGCGUCAUGUAACUGAAUCACAGUGUGUGAAACAUAUUUUAUAAUGUAACAAAAUUCUAUUAUGUCACAAAAUACCAAAAACAUAUACACAUAUAAUCGAAAUAUUGGAAAUAUAUAAACUUUUGUUCAUUCCAAAUCAUGCAUUGUUUCGCAUUAUACUGAAUUACAGUAAAAUGUCGAUUAUCUGCUCAAACUGACAGAUAGUGAUCUACUUAUUAUCAUGAGCAUUUGUGCAAAACAUUUAGAGAAAAAAUAAUAAUAAAUAAAAUACUAUAAAGGAUACAUAAACAGUAAACAGCAUUGCUUAAGAAUUUCUCUUUAUUCAUAUUUGAUAAUUGGCAUUUUGUUGUAUUUCUAUUAGGAACAAAAAUAAUUGUAACCAUUUUACUUUUCCAUAUGCUACUGUAUAAGAACCAUCUUAAUAAAAUCCGUAUAACACC